CAGUGUCACGGCUCUUUUUAAAAUUUGCAUAGCAGGUUCUCCGGUUUGCAUCAGAAACUCCCCC
RNAcentral lists this small nuclear RNA (64 nucleotides) under Ochotona princeps (American pika). Its description in RNAcentral is "U7 small nuclear RNA (ENSOPRG00000023966.1)". Lineage: Eukaryota; Metazoa; Chordata; Mammalia; Lagomorpha; Ochotonidae. The record is from RNAcentral.